Molecule: ribosomal RNA, 833 nt
Filed under: uncultured Actinomycetes bacterium
Lineage: Bacteria; Bacillati; Actinomycetota; Actinomycetes
Description: bacterial SSU rRNA
Rfam family: Bacterial small subunit ribosomal RNA
Source: RNAcentral
GGAUUAGCGGCGAACGGGUGAGGAACACGUGAAGAAUCUGCCCUCCACUUUGGGAUAACACCGGGAAACCGGUGCUAAUACCGAAUAUUGAAACAUAAGUGGCAUCACUGAGUUUUGAAAGAAUUUCGGUGGAGGAUGACUUCGCGGCCUAUCAGCUAGUUGGUGAGGUAAUGGCUCACCAAGGCAACGACGGGUAGCCGGCCUGAGAGGGCGACCGGCCACACUGGGACUGAGACACGGCCCAGACUCCUACGGGAGGCAGCAGUGGGGAAUAUUGGGCAAUGGAGGAAACUCUGACCCAGCGACGCCGCGUGCGGGAUGAAGGCCUUCGGGUUGUAAACCGCUUUCAGUAGGGAAGAAGCGAAAGUGACGGUACCUACAAAAGAAGCACCGGCUAACUAUGUGCCAGCAGCCGCGGUAAUACAUAGGGUGCAAGCGUUGUCCGGAAUUAUUGGGCGUAAAGAGCUCGUAGGUCGUUUGUUACGUCGGAUGUGAAAACCUGAGGCUCAACCUCAGGCCUGCAUUCGAUACGGGCAAACUAGAGUUUGGUAGGGGAGACUGGAAUUCCUGGUGUAGCGGUGGAAUGCGCAGAUAUCAGGAGGAACACCAAUGGCGAAGGCAGGUCUCUGGGCCAAUACUGACACUGAGGAGCGAAAGUCUGGGGAGCGAACAGGAUUAGAUACCCUGGUAGUCCAGACCGUAAACGGUGGGCACUAGUUGUGGGAACCUUCCACGGUUUCUGCGACGCAGCUAACGCAUUAAGUGCCCCGCCUGGGGAGUACGAUCGCAAGAUUAAAACUCAAAGGAAUUGACGGGGCCCCCGCACAAGCAGC